RNAcentral lists this ribosomal RNA (458 nucleotides) under uncultured bacterium. RNAcentral describes it as "bacterial SSU rRNA". It matches the Rfam family "Bacterial small subunit ribosomal RNA", at positions 340 to 789 of the family's 1533-position model. The record is from RNAcentral.
UACGGAAGGCAGCAGUGGGGAAUAUUGCACAAUGGGCGAAAGCCUGAUGCAGCUAUGCCGCGUGUAUGAAGAAGGCCUUAGGGUUGUAAAGUACUUUCAUCGGGGAGGAAAAACAAAACUAAUAAUUUUAUUUCUUGACGUUACCCGAAAAAGAAGCACCGGCUAACUCCGUGCCAGCAGCCGCGGUAAUACGGAGGGUGCUAGCGUUAAUCAGAAUUACUGGGCGUAAAGAGCACGUAGGUGGUUUUUUUAAGUCAGAUGUGAAAUCCCUGGGCUUAACCUAGGAACUGCAUUUUGAAACUGAAAUACUAGAGUAUCGUAGAGGGAGGUAGAAUUCUAGGUGUAGCGGUGAAAUGCGUAGAUAUCUGGAGGAAUACCUGUGGCAAAGCGGCCUCCUAAACGAAUACUGACACUGAGGUGCGAAAGCGUGGGGAGCGAAACAGGGAUUAGAUACCCGU